UGCAUUAGAAAAAGGAUCCACCCCUUUCUGUCCAAAGGAAGAAAAAAACGGAUUCCUCUGCAAUCAUCAUCUUCUACCAUCAGCUUCACCCUCAUGAAUUUUCCUUAACUCAUCAUCUCCUAACACACAUCUCCACCCUACGUUUUUUUUAACCAACACAAACACUACUACCCGUUUCUUCCAACACCUUUCAAUUUAUUCCCAUCAAUCCUCCAUAACACCGAAACACAACCAAACAGAAAAGGACCAUCAAUUUCCAACCUCCACCGAAAAUCAAACCAAACCAUCUAAAUUUCAUUCCACUGCAAAACCUGAUUUCGAAAUCAUAUGAAGGCUAACUCAGAGGUCCAAAAUUUAUGUGUGAGUAGUCAAAUGAAAGCCCUUUGAGUCUAGAAUCUAACCCAAAAAGUUUCAUUGCAUUUAGAGUACUGUGGAAAAAGAUAUGAGUCAAACAUCAAGCCAAGCUCAGUGCCAUAAACGAAAUUCCAAAACCUGAUUUCGAGUUUAAACUGCAGCUAGUCCAGAGAUCCAAAAAUUAUGUGUGAGUGGUCCAAUGAAAGCCCUUUGAGUCUAGAAUCUAACCCAAAAAGUCUCAUUGCAUUUGGAGAGGUAUGGAAAGAGUUAUUGAUGAAACAUUCAACGGAGGUCAGUGGAAAAGAAAGGUUGAAGCUAUGAGGAUGAAAGUUUUCAAGGCAAUUCUUGUGCACCUCGGAUUUCACUAUCUGAACCACAAUUUACAUUAGGAAAAAGUCUUUUUAACAACUCUUUUUUGAUAACUUUUUGACAACGCAUACGUGGCAAUCUAUGAUUGGUCCGUUUCAAAUAUUUUUUUAAAGAUAAAUUCAAACAGACCAAUAAAAUGAUGACACGUGUCCUGUUGUAAAAAAGUUGUUAAAAAAGAGUUGUCAAAGUAUCAUUGUUUACAUUAAUUGGAGUGGACCUUUGGUAUUUUCUGUUUUUACCUAUUUUUAUUUUAUUUUAUUUUAUUUUGAUUUUAUUGUUAUUCUUUUUUAGUUUAUACUCCCACAAUUGUUAACCCCACACC
Molecule: long non-coding RNA, 1045 nt
Filed under: Vigna radiata
Lineage: Eukaryota; Viridiplantae; Streptophyta; Magnoliopsida; Fabales; Fabaceae
Description: long non-coding RNA (VRAD_LNC007740)
Source: RNAcentral